GUUAAGCGACUAAGCGUACACGGUGGAUGCCCUGGCAGUCAGAGGCGAUGAAGGACGUGCUAAUCUGCGAUAAGCGUCGGUAAGGUGAUAUGAACCGUUAUAACCGGCGAUUUCCGAAUGGGGAAACCCAGUGUGUUUCGACACACUAUCAUUAACUGAAUCCAUAGGUUAAUGAGGCGAACCGGGGGAACUGAAACAUCUAAGUACCCCGAGGAAAAGAAAUCAACCGAGAUUCCCCCAGUAGCGGCGAGCGAACGGGGAGCAGCCCAGAGUCUGAAUCAGUGUGUGUGUUAGUGGAAGCGUCUGGAAAGGCGCGCGAUACAGGGUGACAGCCCCGUACACAAAAAUGCACAUGCUGUGAGCUCGAUGAGUAGGGCGGGACACGUGGUAUCCUGUCUGAAUAUGGGGGGACCAUCCUCCAAGGCUAAAUACUCCUGACUGACCGAUAGUGAACCAGUACCGUGAGGGAAAGGCGAAAAGAACCCCGGCGAGGGGAGUGAAAAAGAACCUGAAACCGUGUACGUACAAGCAGUGGGAGCCUCUUUUAUGGGGUGACUGCGUACCUUUUGUAUAAUGGGUCAGCGACUUAUAUUCUGUAGCAAGGUUAACCGAAUAGGGGAGCCGAAGGGAAACCGAGUCUUAACUGGGCGUUAAGUUGCAGGGUAUAGACCCGAAACCCGGUGAUCUAGCCAUGGGCAGGUUGAAGGUUGGGUAACACUAACUGGAGGACCGAACCGACUAAUGUUGAAAAAUUAGCGGAUGACUUGUGGCUGGGGGUGAAAGGCCAAUCAAACCGGGAGAUAGCUGGUUCUCCCCGAAAGCUAUUUAGGUAGCGCCUCGUGAAUUCAUCUCCGGGGGUAGAGCACUGUUUCGGCAAGGGGGUCAUCCCGACUUACCAACCCGAUGCAAACUGCGAAUACCGGAGAAUGUUAUCACGGGAGACACACGGCGGGUGCUAACGUCCGUCGUGAAGAGGGAAACAACCCAGACCGCCAGCUAAGGUCCCAAAGUCAUGGUUAAGUGGGAAACGAUGUGGGAAGGCCCAGACAGCCAGGAUGUUGGCUUAGAAGCAGCCAUCAUUUAAAGAAAGCGUAAUAGCUCACUGGUCGAGUCGGCCUGCGCGGAAGAUGUAACGGGGCUAAACCAUGCAC
RNAcentral lists this ribosomal RNA (1151 nucleotides) under Escherichia coli. RNAcentral describes it as "partial 23S ribosomal RNA". It matches the Rfam family "Bacterial large subunit ribosomal RNA", at positions 1 to 1194 of the family's 2925-position model. Lineage: Bacteria; Pseudomonadati; Pseudomonadota; Gammaproteobacteria; Enterobacterales; Enterobacteriaceae. The record is from RNAcentral.